RNAcentral lists this long non-coding RNA (561 nucleotides) under Panax ginseng (ginseng). Its description in RNAcentral is "long non-coding RNA (PGIN_LNC005326)". The record is from RNAcentral. Lineage: Eukaryota; Viridiplantae; Streptophyta; Magnoliopsida; Apiales; Araliaceae.
UGACAGUCCCCGAAUCCGGUUCGCUAUUUCUACAACUGUUUGCGAAAGAUAUAAACAUAGACUGUUUAUACAUUAAACUUUACACACAUUUCCCCAGUAUCGAAUAACCUUCACUUAUACACAAUUCAUAAACUAUCUAACACAUAACAAUAAUAUUCUUCAACCAUACUUUUACAAAUUAGCCGCACAUUCUAUCCCAAGCUGAACUUGGCAUUUUCCUUUUCCUGUAACUGGCCGUAUUCGCCUUAUCUGCAAGGUUUUAUCAUGAUAUAGCAAGGGUGAGCAUGAAAGUUACCCAGCAAGUUAAAAAAAAAUAAGGUAAAGAUAUAUCAUGAUUGAAAGAGUUUGAAUAAUAAGCUGGCUAUCCUUCACAAUGUAGUUGUGAAUUAGCAUGAACAAAAUUUCAAAGCUGAAUGAACAUUGAAAAUGAACAUAACAAUUAUAUCUGAACUGACUGGUAAUGAAGGUGAUCAGCCUUUCAUACCUGAUGAAUACAUGCAAUAUGUACAGAGUACAAUUCAUAAGCAUAUCUGUCUGAAACCACUCUUAAAAGAGUUUANN